CCAUGCUGGGAAUCCGCGUGCCUGCGAUCAGAUGACCCGCAUGCAUUCCCGCGCGCGUGGACGGUCCAGAUCAGUUCCCUCCUCAGUCGCGAUCGGUUAGUCAUGAUUAAAUACGAUGAACGGUCCAGAUUUGUUCCCUCCUUAAAUACGAUCAUACAGUCGAGAUCAACUCUCGAUGAACAGUUUAGAUUUAUUUUCUCUUUAAACGCGAUCAGACGAUCGAGAUCAAACGCGACGAACGUCCCACAUUUAAGGAAGACAGGUAUAAAUAUCUCGUAUCACACCGAACCCAAAUCCUACUCGCCAACCUCCCACUGGAGAAGAAAAACCAGUCAUCAGAGAAGGGAGCCGACCGCCGCCCGCUGCGUCGGAGCCACCUCCAACCACCAAAAAAAGGUAAAAAUUCUCCUAUCCGUUCGGAAUUUGAUUUCAAACACCCUCAUGGGCAAAUCAGAGCA
RNAcentral lists this long non-coding RNA (458 nucleotides) under Carica papaya (papaya). RNAcentral's name for it is "long non-coding RNA (CPAP_LNC001906)". The record is from RNAcentral. Lineage: Eukaryota; Viridiplantae; Streptophyta; Magnoliopsida; Brassicales; Caricaceae.